CAACCCUCAAGCCCUGCUUGGUGUUGGGGCGCUGCCGCCUUUUUUACAGGGAGGCAGGCCCUGAAAUAUAGUGGCGAGCUCGCCAGGACUCCGAGCGCAGUAGUUUACCACCUCGCUUAGGAAGGACUGGCGGUGCCCUGCCGUAAAACCCCCUAAUUUCUGAAA
RNAcentral lists this unclassified non-coding RNA (165 nucleotides) under uncultured fungus. Its description in RNAcentral is "sequence contains ITS2". Lineage: Eukaryota; Fungi. The record is from RNAcentral.